GACGAACGCUGGCGGCGUGCUUAACACAUGCAAGUCGAACGGAAAGGCCUCUUUCUUGGGGUACUCGAGUUGCGAACGGGUGAGUAACACACGAGUAAACCGCCCUCGACUUUGGGAUAACUUCAUUCGACUGGGGGUAAUACCGGAUAGGAGCUCCUUUUGCCUGCUGGGGGUUUGAGAGUUUCGCCGGUUUGGUGUUGACUCUCGGCUUAUCAGCUUGUUGUUGGGGUGUUGGCUUACCAAGGCUUUGACGGGUAGCCGGCCUGGGAGGGUGAGCGGCCACAUUGGGACUGGGGUACGGCCCAGGAUGGUACGGGGGGGAGCAGGGGGGAAUAUUGCAGGAUGGGUGGAGGCCUGGUGCAGCAAGGCCGUGGGGCGGAUGACGGGCUUCGGGUUGAAAACCGUUUUCGCUCGUGACGGAGCUCUGUGUGACGGUAGUGGGUAAAGAAGCACCGGCUAACUACGUG
RNAcentral lists this ribosomal RNA (467 nucleotides) under uncultured bacterium. Its description in RNAcentral is "partial 16S ribosomal RNA". It matches the Rfam family "Bacterial small subunit ribosomal RNA", at positions 28 to 507 of the family's 1533-position model. The record is from RNAcentral.